This 379-nucleotide ribosomal RNA is filed under the name uncultured eukaryote. Its description in RNAcentral is "partial 18S ribosomal RNA". It matches the Rfam family "Eukaryotic small subunit ribosomal RNA", at positions 592 to 976 of the family's 1831-position model. The record is from RNAcentral.
CAAUAGCGUAUAUUAAAGUUGUUGCAGUUAAAAAGCUCGUAGUUGGAUUUGUGUGUUUUGAUUGUGGUCUGAAAAUUUCAGCACUGCGUUUCAAAGUACAUUAUUUGUAGCUCGGCGGUCUGGCAUUAAGUUGUUGGGUCGUGCAGACUACAUCGUUUACUGUGAAAAAAUUAGAGUGUUUCAAGCAGGCAUACGCCUUGAAUACAUUAGCAUGGAAUAAUAAGAUAGGACCUCGGUUCUAUUUUGUUGGUUUCUAGGACCGAAGUAAUGAUUAAUAGGGAUAGUUGGGGGCAUUAGUAUUUAAUUGUCAGAGGUGAAAUUCUUGGAUUUAUGAAAGACUAACAUCUGCGAAAGCAUUUGCCAAGGAUGUUUUCAUUGA